Aotus nancymaae (Ma's night monkey) is the source of this 113-nucleotide unclassified non-coding RNA. It matches the Rfam family "Y RNA". Rfam says of the family: Y RNAs are components of the Ro ribonucleoprotein particle (Ro RNP), in association with Ro60 and La proteins. NCBI's taxonomy places the organism in Eukaryota, Metazoa, Chordata, Mammalia, Primates, Aotidae. The record is from Ensembl.
GGCUGGUCCGAAGGUAGUGAGUUACCUCAAUUGAUUGUUCACAGUCAGUUACAGAUCGAACUCCUUGUUCUACCCCUUCCCCGCUUCUCACUACUGCACUUGACUAGUCUUAA